This 22-nucleotide microRNA is filed under the name Plutella xylostella (diamondback moth). RNAcentral describes it as "pxy-miR-8494-3p". Lineage: Eukaryota; Metazoa; Arthropoda; Insecta; Lepidoptera; Plutellidae. The record is from miRBase by way of RNAcentral.
CUGACAAACCCAGUAGAGAAAU